GUCCCUGUAGCACAAUGGCUGUCGCUUUGGACUUUUAAUCCAAAUGAUCGUGGGUUCGAAUUCCACCUAGGAUG
This is a non-coding RNA of Trichonephila inaurata madagascariensis, 74 nucleotides long. The record is from the annotation of a GenBank genome assembly. Lineage: Eukaryota; Metazoa; Arthropoda; Arachnida; Araneae; Nephilidae.